UACGGAGGGAGCUAGCGUUGCUCGGAAUCACUGGGCGUAAAGCGCACGUAGGCGGACUCUUAAGUCGGUGGUGAAAUCCUGGAGCUCAACUCCAGAACUGCCUUCGAUACUGAGAGUCUCGAGUCCGGGAGAGGUGAGUGGAACUGCGAGUGUAGAGGUGAAAUUCGUAGAUAUUCGCAAGAACACCAGUGGCGAAGGCGGCUCACUGGCCCGGUACUGACGCUGAGGUGCGAAAGCGUGGGGAGCAAACAGG
This 253-nucleotide ribosomal RNA is filed under the name uncultured bacterium. Its description in RNAcentral is "partial 16S ribosomal RNA". It matches the Rfam family "Bacterial small subunit ribosomal RNA", at positions 524 to 776 of the family's 1533-position model. The record is from RNAcentral.